This 706-nucleotide long non-coding RNA is filed under the name Homo sapiens (human). Its description in RNAcentral is "HSALNT0197781". The record is from RNAcentral. Lineage: Eukaryota; Metazoa; Chordata; Mammalia; Primates; Hominidae.
CCUGGAGGGACACGGCUGGAGCAUGGACGCAGGCCACGGGGACACCGGUGGAUGACCCACGCCAGGGUCAAAGGCCACGGGAAUACAGCCAGUCUAGGUUAGCUGCUGCCAUCGCAGUGAAGAUGGUCCAGUCGGAUACGCCGCCUGAACCUCAGCACCACACAUGGUUCCUGGAGCCCAAGUCAGUGGGAUGUUUGUCAUUUGGGUCCCCGGCACCUUCCUACAGGUAAGAGCAUCUUCAGUGAGGGUCGUAGACCAGGCUGGAGCCGGUAGGUCCCCCGGGAUACCUGCUGCUGGGCGCCAUCUGCCGGCUCCACGGUCGUCCGACGCUGAGGCACUUUCUGGGCCCUGUGGCCCCCACGCUCCAGGGUCCACGCGGAGGAUCUGAACUCAGAAACUUGAGGACUUCACCUUGCUACAAAGGCAUCACAGCCCUGACAUCACGCAGCUUUGAUAAUCCACCAGGUGUUUAAUCACAGGGACAGAGCACACCUCAAAGUGGUUUACGCACACACACAAAGAGGAAAUUCGCUGACAGGAGUUGAGAUGAGAGUGACAGGUUAUGGGCUCCAGGGGCGGCGCAGUCCAGGCAUUCCCACGAUGUCCUGUGGGCUGUGCCAGAACCCUGGGAAGAGCAACGUGGUCGGAGGGUCCCGGGGGAGAGUGGGUGGCGGAGGGUCCCCGGGGAGAGCAGGGUGGCCGGAGG